This 73-nucleotide transfer RNA is filed under the name Dryococelus australis. Its description in RNAcentral is "tRNA-OTHER". It matches the Rfam family "tRNA". From Rfam's summary of the family: Transfer RNA (tRNA) molecules are approximately 80 nucleotides in length. Their secondary structure includes four short double-helical elements and three loops (D, anti-codon, and T loops). The record is from RNAcentral. Lineage: Eukaryota; Metazoa; Arthropoda; Insecta; Phasmatodea; Phasmatidae.
GGCCCGUUAGCUCAGUUGCUUAGAGCGUCGUGCUAAUAACGCUGAAGGUCGUGGGUUCGAUCCCCACGGGCCA